Non-coding RNA from Acanthosepion pharaonis, 114 nucleotides. Lineage: Eukaryota; Metazoa; Mollusca; Cephalopoda; Sepiida; Sepiidae. The record is from the annotation of a GenBank genome assembly.
UUACGGCCAUAUCAUACAGUUGUAACGCCGGUUCUCGUAAGAUGACCGAAGUUAAGCAAAGUCGAGCCUGGUCAGUAACUAUGGGUGACCGUUUGGGAAUACCACGCGUUGUAG